AGUGAACGCUGGCGGUAGGCCUAACACAUGCAAGUCGAACGGCAGCACAGUAAGAGCUUGCUCUUACGGGUGGCGAGUGGCGGACGGGUGAGGAAUACAUCGGAAUCUACUUUUUCGUGGGGGGUAACGUAGGGAAACUUACGCUAAUACCGCAUACGACCUACGGGUGAAAGCAGGGGAUCUUCGGACCUUGCGCGAUUGAAUGAGCCGAUGUCGGAUUAGCUAGUUGGCGGGGUAAAGGCCCACCAAGGCGACGAUCCGUAGCUGGUCUGAGAGGAUGAUCAGCCACACUGGAACUGAGACACGGUCCAGACUCCUACGGGAGGCAGCAGUGGGGAAUAUUGGACAAUGGGCGCAAGCCUGAUCCAGCCAUACCGCGUGGGUGAAGAAGGCCUUCGGGUUGUAAAGCCCUUUUGUUGGGAAAGAAAAGCAGCAGGUUAAUACCCCGCUGUUCUGACGGUACCCAAAGAAUAAGCACCGGCUAACUUCGU
Molecule: ribosomal RNA, 491 nt
Filed under: uncultured bacterium
Lineage: Bacteria
Description: partial 16S ribosomal RNA
Rfam family: Bacterial small subunit ribosomal RNA
Source: RNAcentral